Molecule: long non-coding RNA, 250 nt
Filed under: Trifolium pratense (red clover)
Lineage: Eukaryota; Viridiplantae; Streptophyta; Magnoliopsida; Fabales; Fabaceae
Description: long non-coding RNA (TPRA_LNC006158)
Source: RNAcentral
CUGUGUGGUUGUUAAUGGCUAGAAAGUGGUUGUGUGGUUAUGAUUUGCUACUGAUCUUUGUUUGUUCUUUCUAUUUUGUUCUUCAGUUAUUGCCUUUUUUUAUUUAUAGAGUAAUUGUUGGGGUUUUGUUCAUUGGGGUUAGUGAGUGACCAUUGGUUUAAUUGUUUUGGCUGAAAAAUUGAAUUGAAAUGACUUUUGCUUUUUGAUUGAGUGUGAAUUUGGAGAAACUUUGGCUUAAUUUGAGAUUGAG